RNAcentral lists this long non-coding RNA (447 nucleotides) under Actinidia chinensis (golden kiwifruit). RNAcentral describes it as "long non-coding RNA (ACHI_LNC000400)". The record is from RNAcentral. Lineage: Eukaryota; Viridiplantae; Streptophyta; Magnoliopsida; Ericales; Actinidiaceae.
UCACGAUUGACAAUGACGGUGAAAUCGGAGCAAUAGCCUCGCCGUAUCACUCCUCUUCAAAGAGAAAUUCGAUCAUAUACAAUCUUAAGGGAGUUUGGUUGGUGAGAAAAUUGUGAUUCCAAGAAGAUUCCCAACCAAACUGGGGAUCUAUACAGAGCAUUGAAAUUUUUUUUGGAAAUCUCACGAAGCCUUGUGCGAGGGAUGAUCUUACCAUGUUUGAUAUUACCCGCAGCCCCCCUCGCUCUCUCGCUUCUGGAAUGCUUCUGUCGAUUUCUCUCUCUGCCUUUUUCUUCUCCUCUUCUAUACUCAAAUACUAGGAAGACCACAAAACAACCCAAAAUCAUUACAAAUAUAGAAUGUAAAUUGAGGCCAUUGUUGGAAAAAAAUAGAAAUCUCACGAAGGAUUGUGCUUGGGACGGAUCUUCCGAAGGUUUGGUCUUCUUCUUC